ACCUGGCUCAGCUGAUCCAGGGCGUCGAAGCCGGGAUGCUCGGGAGGCGGGGAGAGCUGGCCCAGGACGGGACGGUGGUCGGCAGGAUCAGAAGCCUCUAGGGGACAGCGCCCCCUUGCCGGCCGCGGGCGUCCCCUUCCCCGCCUGCAAGUCUCGCGCGCUCCCAGCGUGCGGUUCCGGAGCAGAGAGUGCCCGCAUUCAAGCACCAGGUCUCUGCUCCUCAGUUCUGGGGCUUCCCUGUGUCGGCUUCCGACUCGGAUCAGAGCCCCACAGCAGACAGAGUGCUUCUGACAAGCACUGAUGGUUAGUGCCAGUUCUGGCGCUUCUAACGGAGCAUAAGCGCUUCUAACCCCUGCUUAUCUACCCUCUCCGUAUGUAUCGCUCACGUUCCACUGGACCUUUCCUCCUCCAAAGGGCACUUGAAGUUCAAGUCAUGUCUCUCAGCGAAUGGGGACAGAUCCUGACUUAGAGCCGCAAGUCCAGUCCCAUCUGUGCACAUCUGAGCAAGUCUCUCGGCCAGCAAGCAGGG
Odocoileus virginianus texanus is the source of this 529-nucleotide non-coding RNA. The record is from RefSeq and is a predicted model, not a curated record. Lineage: Eukaryota; Metazoa; Chordata; Mammalia; Artiodactyla; Cervidae.